CCCUUAGACGUUCUGGGCCGCACGCGCGCUACACUGACAAAGGCAACGAGCUACUCUUCACCGAAAGGUGUGGGUAAUCUUUUGAAACUUUGUCGUGCUGGGGAUAGAUCCUUGCAAUUUUUGAUCUUAAACGAGGAAUUCCUAGUAAGCGCAAGUCAUCAACUUGCGUUGAUUACGUCCCUGCCCUUUGUACACACCGCCCGUCGCUACUACCGAUUGAAUGGUUUGGUGAGGCCUUCGGAUCCGCGACUCGUUUGUGGAGAAGUUGGACAAACUCAGUCAUUUAGAGGAAGUAAAAGUCGUAACA
Molecule: ribosomal RNA, 307 nt
Filed under: uncultured eukaryote
Lineage: Eukaryota
Description: partial 18S ribosomal RNA
Rfam family: Eukaryotic small subunit ribosomal RNA
Source: RNAcentral